ACAGCACUGGGCAUGUGCAAGAAGCCAGUGCCAAAGUAUUUGCUUCUAUGUGUGAGAGGCAGCAAGUCCUUGCUGGGUAACGAUGUCGUCUGGGCUUAGAGGCCACACAUGAUUAUGGUACAAGAAGUGGGUAUUUUCAAGAAAUAUUACA
Eubalaena glacialis (North Atlantic right whale) is the source of this 151-nucleotide long non-coding RNA. RefSeq lists it as uncharacterized. The record is from RefSeq and is a predicted model, not a curated record. Lineage: Eukaryota; Metazoa; Chordata; Mammalia; Artiodactyla; Balaenidae. The transcript is spliced from 3 exons.